UUGAUAGUUUAUUAAAUCAAAACAGGUGCUGCAUGGCUGUCGUCAGCCCGUGCUGUGAAGUGUUGGUUCAUUCCAAUCAACGGGCGCAACUCUUAUAACUUAUUAUUUUAAAUUGAUAAGUUACGCUGUUAACGAUAUGAUAAAGGAAGGUGACAAUGACGUCUAAGUCCUCACUGGCCCUUAUGAAUUGGGCUGUAUAC
RNAcentral lists this ribosomal RNA (200 nucleotides) under uncultured eukaryote. RNAcentral's name for it is "partial 16S ribosomal RNA". It matches the Rfam family "Bacterial small subunit ribosomal RNA", at positions 1011 to 1221 of the family's 1533-position model. The record is from RNAcentral.